This 301-nucleotide ribosomal RNA is filed under the name uncultured bacterium. RNAcentral describes it as "partial 16S ribosomal RNA". It matches the Rfam family "Bacterial small subunit ribosomal RNA", at positions 509 to 807 of the family's 1533-position model. The record is from RNAcentral.
CAGCAGCCGCGGUAAUACGUAGGGUGCGAGCGUUAAUCGGAAUUACUGGGCGUAAAGCGUGCGUAGGUGGUGGUUUAAGUCCGUUGUGAAAGCCCUGGGCUCAACCUGGGAAUUGCAGUGGACACUGGGUCACUAGAGUGUGGUAGAGGAUAGUGGAAUUUCCGGUGUAGCAGUGAAAUGCGUAGGGAUCGGAAGGAACAUCUGUGGCGAAGGCGACUAUCUGGGCCAACACUGACACUGAGGCACGAAAGCGUGGGGAGCAAACAGGAUUAGAUACCCCCGUAGUCCCUGUCUCUUAUAC